Molecule: unclassified non-coding RNA, 1362 nt
Organism: Vigna unguiculata (cowpea)
Lineage: Eukaryota; Viridiplantae; Streptophyta; Magnoliopsida; Fabales; Fabaceae
Source: RefSeq, a predicted model, not a curated record
CACACGCGAACUCAUUUCUUCUCCCAUGGCAGAUAAGACGUUUCUUUCUCAUUGCAAGUUUUCCACAUUUUUAGUUUCUUUAUCAUUUCUUACUGCAGAAUGCUCAUUCUCUCCGCACAUGAGCCAUCAUUUUGUUCUUCAUGAAAAUCCUUUCGUUGUUUCAAGUUCGAGGGAAGCUUUAUGACUUGAAUCAGGAACAUCAGAUGCGUCUUGGACAGAAAUCAAUCUUUCACAUUGAAGUUUGAUAUGUCAUAAGGAUAAUAAGCAGAUCGAUUUAUCCGGAUUUCCUUGCUGAUAGAUGUUAAUGGGGCGCGUAAUGAAGCAAUUUUCAUGCCCAGUGAUGGAUCAUAACCCGUUGAAACAGGAACACAACUAACAGAUCAUGAGGUUCUUGAAACUCAUUAUAGUCAAUUGCAGUCUUUCCAACUUCUUGCAUUUAAAAAGAUGGAAAAGGUUAGAGCUUAGAUAUAAUUUAAUCUAAAUGAACAUAAUAUCCUAAAAUCCUACUAUAAUAUGUAUUACUUUAAUAUCAUGUCAUUCUUCAUUCUACCUUCCCUUAAUUUCAUGUUUGUGUACAAGAUUUCUUAAUUUUUUUUCUGGUUGUAGCUGCAGGAACUUGCUUUGACUAACAUUGGUUCUAUUCACAAACGUGCUAAUUUGUCCAAGAAAUUGUCUGUUCUUUCUGCAGAGGAGUUAAUGCAAGCUAAUUUUUAACUUAUGCAUGAAUAAUUUACUUACAAGGGUGUUGACUGUUGAGACUGGAAUAUGAGUCAUUGACUUUUGUUCACCUUUUUGUGAUUGAGGUAUGUGCAAGUAGUGGUUGAUGAGAUUGUCUUCAAUAAUAUUGAUCCAAUGAAGGUGGUUCAGCUUUUCCUCUAGCAUUUUGCAUAUUUCUUAUCCACCCAUUCCUUUAAUCUAUUGUUUUGAAUGGAUUUUAUAGCAUCCAGGUAGCUGGGGUUUGAGUAAGCUCUUGAAAGAGUUCGUGACUAUUGGUGGAAAGCUGUUGCAUGGAAUUAGUGAUCACACUUUGCUAAAUUCACUUGGGCUACUAAAUGAUGUGAGCUCAGUUGAUAUUGUAAACUUUUCCCUUCCAAAUUUGCCAGUGCCUCCAAAUGCCUUCACUAGCAUAAUGUAGGAAUGGGAAGUAUCAAACCACUUGUAAUCUUCUUCGCAAGUAUCUUGGAGAUUUUUUAAUUGCUUCAUAUUUAAAUGUUGUUGAAGAGUCUGGUUAUGAUGAGAGACAUGCAAAGGAAAUUGAGGUAAGAUAUUCUAUUCAACUAUUUUUUCUUGUAAUUGAACAUUUUGUUGCCUGCCGUAUAUUUACUAAUGUAAAUAAUAGCUACAAUCGUGCAGAAAUUUGUG